Small nucleolar RNA from Suncus etruscus (white-toothed pygmy shrew), 127 nucleotides. RefSeq annotates it as small nucleolar RNA SNORA28. The record is from RefSeq and is a predicted model, not a curated record. Lineage: Eukaryota; Metazoa; Chordata; Mammalia; Eulipotyphla; Soricidae. The transcript has a single exon.
CAGCAACACUCUGUGGCAGGUGGAUCAAAACUGUCUGACAUAAUUUGCGCUUGCUAGAGCAAGAAAUUCUAACCUAUUCCAGUGUUCUCUUCUCCAUGAGACACACCAUUGCAUGCAUUUAAAGAGC